AAAAAAUGCUGGUAGUUUUCUGUCUAAUUAUUCUUUUUUUUCAUUUGCUCUCAAAAUCUCUAAAUCUGAAAAAUGGCUAUUAAGAUAAUGAAAUUCAAACAGUCUAUCCCUCUUAAAGACAUUCAAAAAUGGCUUGUGAGUUUUCAUUUAGACGUCACAUUGGAAACCUCUUUCAAUAGUUUGAAGUCAGAGUGUUUAAUAAAACUGUAGAUUUUACAUGUUUUAUGUGUUAUUUACAUCUACGUUUAUUUGAUGUUUUGGUAAAAAUUACAUCGAGGUCAAAAUGGUUAAAAUGACUAAUACGUAUCUUAAAAUAGUUGCUGGUAGGCAAGUAAUUAAAAUUACUUUUAACUGACUUUAAAUGUUAGCUUGUAGUUGCUGUAGCUCUUUGUAGGUUUACAUGUAUUCAGCAUGAGAAGCAAAUCUAAAUCAUUAUAGAUGUAGAAAUGAUCAGUUAAACAGUGCAACAGAAGAGUUUGUUGGAUGUGCAUCAUGACAUGUUGAAUGUUGGGUUGUUUGGACGUUGGUGAUACGAAUUUAAUUAAAUGGUCAGUUUGUGACUUAGUCAAUAUCUCUGUAGCAAGGGGACAAAGAAGGCUGUUUAUUCUUAUCUUGGGUGGCUGUCAGAAGAAUUCAGAGACGCACUGCAGUAAUAUUUACAUAGCAGUUCUGCAGAGUUGCUCAACCAUUAAAAGCUCAUAUGUUGUUUUUCUCUGUGGUUUUACUCCUAGUAUAUCUGUGUUAUGCCAAAGUGAGCAUGGUGACAAUAACAAAAAAGUAUUCAGAGAGCCCUGACAACGAAAUACUUGUAGCCGUUUAGUUUAACAGUGCUCUUUUAGUGUUUCGAAUGUCACUGGCCUGCAGGUCUUUCCUGUUUAGCAAAGAGGCUAUUCAGGAAAAACUGAAGUUCAGUUUGUCCUUUUAGCACAUUUUUUUAGAAGAUGUUUUUUUAAGGAAAUGUGAGAAGCUUUUUUAAGACUUAUUGAGACCAAUACUGAACUAAAACAUAGUGAAAUUUAAAUAAAUACACUAAAUGGUC
Molecule: long non-coding RNA, 1039 nt
Organism: Pundamilia nyererei
Lineage: Eukaryota; Metazoa; Chordata; Actinopteri; Cichliformes; Cichlidae
Exons: 2
Source: RefSeq, a predicted model, not a curated record